Molecule: ribosomal RNA, 319 nt
Filed under: uncultured Borrelia sp.
Lineage: Bacteria; Pseudomonadati; Spirochaetota; Spirochaetia; Spirochaetales; Borreliaceae
Description: bacterial SSU rRNA
Rfam family: Bacterial small subunit ribosomal RNA
Source: RNAcentral
GGGGAUAACUAUUAGAAAUAGUAGCUAAUACCGAAUAAAGUCAAUUAAUUUGUUAAUUGAUGAAAGGAAGCCUUUAAAGCUUCGCUUGUAGAUGAGUCUGCGUCUUAUUAGCUAGUUGGUAGGGUAAAUGCCUACCAAGGCGAUGAUAAGUAACCGGCCUGAGAGGGUGAACGGUCACACUGGAACUGAGAUACGGUCCAGACUCCUACGGGAGGCAGCAGCUAAGAAUCUUCCGCAAUGGGCGAAAGCCUGACGGAGCGACACUGCGUGAAUGAAGAAGGUCGAAAGAUUGUAAAAUUCUUUUAUAAAUGAGGAAUAA